Molecule: long non-coding RNA, 500 nt
Organism: Onychostoma macrolepis
Lineage: Eukaryota; Metazoa; Chordata; Actinopteri; Cypriniformes; Cyprinidae
Exons: 3
Source: RefSeq, a predicted model, not a curated record
GUAACGCACCAAAAACCCGUUUUACGAGCUGCCAUCACACCUCAGAAGAAGAAGAAGAGCCCCAUCAAAGACGUGAUUUCCGGAUCUUUCUUUCUUUCGCUUGAGGACCGCCGUGCAAGCGUUAGCUCUGUCUUCUUCUCUCUUUUAAGCAAAAUAUAAUUUCCUUGAAGCCUUCAGAGAACAUUCAUCUGGCCACCUUAUGUGUUGGUCAUAAGUUUGAUGCCAUCUUUGAGAUUAGUUUCUAUCUCACAUCUGCUACCAGAAAGGAGAAACGUCUACUUUGCUGUGGUGUUGGAUCACCAAGUGUUGGUUUUGACUAAGACAAGAUAUUAGGACAGUAUUGAGUAUUACAUGCUGUGAGAUUGACAUUUAAAAUUAUUUUUGGUGCAUUUGUUGUUGGUUCAAAUGCUGAGUGGUGUUAUAACCCAGGGGCUUUUGUUUUGUUGUUUUGAAUAAUUGUUCAGCUGAAAAAUAAAGAGCAAAAGUCUUUAAAGAGAGAA